RNAcentral lists this ribosomal RNA (497 nucleotides) under uncultured bacterium. Its description in RNAcentral is "partial 16S ribosomal RNA". It matches the Rfam family "Bacterial small subunit ribosomal RNA", at positions 28 to 507 of the family's 1533-position model. The record is from RNAcentral.
GAUGAACGCUGGCGGCGUGCCUAAUACAUGCAAGUCGAGCGAACGGACGCGACGCUUGCUUCUCUGAUGUUAGCGGCGGACGGGUGAGUCACGCGUGGAUCACCUACCUAUAUGUCUGGGAUAACUUCGGGACACCGGAGCUUAUACCGGAUGAUAUUUUGAACCGCAUGGUUCAAAAGUGAAUGACGGUCUUGCUGUCACUUAUAGAUGGAUCCGCGCUGCAUUGGCUGGUUGGUACGGUAACGGCUUAUCAAGGCUACGAUGCGUAGACGAACGGAGAGGGGGAUCGGCCGCACGGGAGGUUGAACGGGGUCCAUGCUCCUACGGGAGGCAGCAGUAGGGAAUCGGCGGCAAUGGGCGGAAGCCUGACGGAGCGGCGCCGCGUGAGUGAUGGAGGCCUUCGGAGCGUGAAACUCUGUUAUGAGGGGAGAACAGAUGUGGAAGGAACUGAGCACAUCGUGACGGUACCGAAUCAGAAAGCCACGGCUAACUACGUG